RNAcentral lists this non-coding RNA (24 nucleotides) under Drosophila melanogaster (fruit fly). The record is from RNAcentral. Lineage: Eukaryota; Metazoa; Arthropoda; Insecta; Diptera; Drosophilidae.
UACGUCCGUCGUUAAUCCAUUCAU